RNAcentral lists this long non-coding RNA (420 nucleotides) under Homo sapiens (human). RNAcentral's name for it is "non-protein coding lnc-BDH1-5:4". Lineage: Eukaryota; Metazoa; Chordata; Mammalia; Primates; Hominidae. The record is from RNAcentral.
CGGGACUGCGCGGAGGCGACUGCAGACGUAUCGGGGGUCCGGAGCCUGUCGCGGCUGCUAAGCGCUCGGCGCCUGGCGCUGGCGCUGGCCAAGGCUCUCUGGGCUGUCAGCCUUUACUGUUCCAGGAUACAGAUCUCCUGAUUCAGGUGUCCAGUGCCUUUUGAACUGAACGCAAGCCCUCCUGGACGAUUGGAACUGUAAUGUGGAAAGGGCUCUGAUGGAGCCAGUUAAAAUGCUUCAUUAUUUGCAAAAUACCACAUACAGUAAUACGAUCUGGAUGUCUUUCCCCUCCUCCACUAAGUAGCAUAAGUGAAGACUUCCCAGAGGAAGUGCGCCUUUUUCAUCUCGUAUCUGAGUCAUGGCCAACAGUGUUGCAAACAGGAACCCGAGGUGUUCACUUCACUGUUGAAGGAACGAGAG